RNAcentral lists this ribosomal RNA (504 nucleotides) under uncultured bacterium. RNAcentral describes it as "partial 16S ribosomal RNA". It matches the Rfam family "Bacterial small subunit ribosomal RNA", at positions 899 to 1397 of the family's 1533-position model. The record is from RNAcentral.
ACUCAAAGGAAUUGACGGGGGCUCACACAAGCGGUGGAGCAUGUGGCUUAAUUCGAGGCUACGCGCAAAACCUUAUCCCGGGCUUGACAUGCACGGAUUAGCCGGCGGAAACGUCGGUGAGGCCGCAAGGUACAACGUGCACAGGUGCUGCAUGGCUGUCGUCAGCUCGUGCCGUGAGGUGUUGGGUUAAGUCCCGUAACGAGCGAAACCCCUGUCCCUAGUUGCCAGCGGGUCAUGCCGGGAACUCUAGGGAGACCGCCGGCGUUAAGCCGGAGGAAGGCGGGGAUGACGUCAAGUCCUCAUGGCCCUUAUGCCCGGGGCUGCACACGUGCUACAAUGGGUCGGACAGAGCGUCGCCAGGCCGCAAGGUCGAGCUAAUCGCCCAAACCGACCCCCAGUUCGGAUUGCGGGCUGCAACCCGCCCGCAUGAAGCCGGAAUCGCUAGUAAUCGCGGAUCAGCACGCCGCGGUGAAUGGGUUCCUGAGCCUUGCACACACCGCCCGU